Molecule: ribosomal RNA, 409 nt
Filed under: uncultured bacterium
Lineage: Bacteria
Description: bacterial SSU rRNA
Rfam family: Bacterial small subunit ribosomal RNA
Source: RNAcentral
GACGAACGCUGGCGGCGUGCUUAACACAUGCAAGUCAAGGGGGCCCAGCAAUGGGCAACCGGCGAACGGGUGCGUAACACGUGAGCAAUCUACCGAAGUGUGGGGGAUAGCCGGCCUAACGGCCGAGUAAUACCGCAUACGAUUCCGAAGAGGCAUUUCUUUGGAAUGAAACCCUACGGGGUACUUCGAGGGGCUCGCGGCCUAUCAGCUAGUUGGUGAGGUAACGGCUCACCAAGGCAACGACGGGUAGCUGGUCUGAGAGGAUGGCCAGCCACAUUGGGACUGAGAAACGGCCCAGACUCCUACGGGAGGCAGCAGUGGGGAAUCUUGCGCAAUGGCCUAACGGCUGACGCAGCGACGCCGCGUGAGGGAUGAAGCUCUUCGGAGUGUAAACCUCUGUUGCCCGGGA